GAUGAACGCUGGCGGCGUGCCUAAUACAUGCAAGUCGAGCGAACGGACGAGAAGCUUGCUUCUCUGAUGUUAGCGGCGGACGGGUGAGUAACACGUGGAUAACCUACCUAUAAGACUGGGAUAACUUCGGGAAACCGGAGCUAAUACCGGAUAAUAUUUUGAACCGCAUGGUUCAAAAGUGAAAGACGGUCUUGCUGUCACUUAUAGAUGGAUCCGCGCUGCAUUAGCUAGUUGGUAAGGUAACGGCUUACCAAGGCAACGAUGCAUAGCCGACCUGAGAGGGUGAUCGGCCACACUGGAACUGAGACACGGUCCAGACUCCUACGGGAGGCAGCAGUAGGGAAUCUUCCGCAAUGGGCGGAAGCCUGACGGAGCAACGCCGCGUGAGUGAUGAAGGUCUUCGGAUCGUAAAACUCUGUUAUUAGGGAAGAACAUAUGUGUAAGUAACUGUGCACAUCUUGACGGUACCUAAUCAGAAAGCCACGGCUAACUACGU
Molecule: ribosomal RNA, 496 nt
Filed under: uncultured bacterium
Lineage: Bacteria
Description: partial 16S ribosomal RNA
Rfam family: Bacterial small subunit ribosomal RNA
Source: RNAcentral